GGGGAAUAUUGGACAAUGGGCGAAAGCCUGAUCCAGCCAUGCCGCGUGAGUGAUGAAGGCCCUAGGGUUGUAAAGCUCUUUCACCGGUGAAGAUAAUGACGGUAACCGGAGAAGAAGCCCCGGCUAACUUCGUGCCAGCAGCCGCGGUAAUACGAAGGGGGCUAGCGUUGUUCGGAAUUACUGGGCGUAAAGCGCACGUAGGCGGAUUGUUUAGUGAGGGGUGAAAUCCCAGGGCUCAACCCUGGAACUGCCUCUCAUACUGGCAAUCUCGAGUCCGAGAGAGGUGAGUGGAAUUCCGAGUGUAGAGGUGAAAUUCGUAGAUAUUCGGAGGAACACCAGUGGCGAAGGCGGCUCACUGGCUCGGUACUGACGCUGAGGUGCGAAAGCGUGGGGAGCAAAC
Molecule: ribosomal RNA, 400 nt
Filed under: uncultured bacterium
Lineage: Bacteria
Description: bacterial SSU rRNA
Rfam family: Bacterial small subunit ribosomal RNA
Source: RNAcentral